This 1185-nucleotide ribosomal RNA is filed under the name Mesocriconema sp. ILVO-Cr. Its description in RNAcentral is "SSU rRNA". It matches the Rfam family "Eukaryotic small subunit ribosomal RNA", at positions 569 to 1784 of the family's 1831-position model. The record is from RNAcentral. Lineage: Eukaryota; Metazoa; Nematoda; Chromadorea; Rhabditida; Criconematidae.
AGCAGCCGCGGUAAUUCCAGCUCUCAAAAUGCAUAGAACCAUUGCUGCGGUUAAAAAGCUCGUAGUUGGAUCUGUGCCGGCGUCGUGGUCCUCCUUAACAGGUGGUACUGCGCGCGUCGGCUUUGGGCCGGUCUUCGUCCGGGGGCCUUAACUGGUCCGUCGGUCGUGGCUGGCUGGUUUACUUUGAGCAAAUCAGAGUGCUCAGCACAGGCGUUUCGCCGGAAUGUUCGUGCAUGGAAUAAUAGAACAGGAUCACGGUCCUCUUUUAUUGGUUUUGUGGACUGAGAUAAUGGUUAACAGAGACGAACGGGGGCAUUCGUAUUGCUGCGUGAGAGGUGAAAUUCUUGGACCGCAGCAGGACGGACUACAGCGAAAGCAUUUGCCAAGCGCGUCUUCAUUAAUCAAGAACGAAAGUCAGAGGUUCGAAGGCGAUCAGAUACCGCCCUAGUUCUGACCGUAAACGAUGCCAACUAGCGAUCCGCCGGUGGCUACCAGGCCCUGGUGGGGAGCUUCCCGGAAACGAAAGUCUUCCGGUUCCGGGGGAAGUAUGGUUGCAAAGCUGAAACUUAAAGGAAUUGACGGAAGGGCACCACCAGGAGUGGAGCCUGCGGCUUAAUUUGACUCAACACGGGAAAACUCACCCGGCCCGGACACCGUAAGGAUUGACAGAUUGAUAGCUUUUUCAUGAUUCGGUGGUUGGUGGUGCAUGGCCGUUCUUAGUUCGUGGAUCGAUUUGUCUGGUUUAUUCCGAUAACGAGCGAGACUCCAGCCUACUAACUAGUACGAGCAUUGCCUCUGUGCUCGGCACUUCUUAGAGGGAUUGACUGCGUCUAGCGGUACGAAACGGAGCAAUAACAGGUCUGUGAUGCCCUUAGAUGUCCGGGGCUGCACGCGCGCUACACUGGCAAAGGCAACGUGCUUGUCCGUCUCCGAAAGGAGCCGGUAAACCCUUGAAAAUUUGCCGUGAUUGGGAUCGGAAAUUGCAAUUAUUUUCCGUGAACGAGGAAUUCCUAGUAAGUGCGAGUCAUCAGCUCGCGUUGAUUACGUCCCUGCCCUUUGUACACACCGCCCGUCGCUGCCUAGAACUGAGCCAUUUCGAGAAUAUUCGGGAUCGUUGGUUGCGUGUCUUUCGGGACAUGCCUCCGGCCAGAGAACGAACGUAAUCGCAAUGGCUUGAACCGGGCA